This 544-nucleotide ribosomal RNA is filed under the name uncultured bacterium. RNAcentral describes it as "bacterial SSU rRNA". It matches the Rfam family "Bacterial small subunit ribosomal RNA", at positions 777 to 1319 of the family's 1533-position model. The record is from RNAcentral.
AAUAGAUACCCAGGUAGUCCACGCCGUAAACGAUGAGUGCUAAGUGUUAGGGGGUUUCCGCCCCUUAGUGCUGCAGCUAACGCAUUAAGCACUCCGCCUGGGGAGUACGGUCGCAAGACUGAAACUCAAAGGAAUUGACGGGGGCCCGCACAAGCGGUGGAGCAUGUGGUUUAAUUCGAAGCAACGCGAAGAACCUUACCAGGUCUUGACAUCCCAUUGACCACUAUGGAGACAUAGUUUUCCCUUCGGGGACAACGGUGACAGGUGGUGCAUGGUUGUCGUCAGCUCGUGUCGUGAGAUGUUGGGUUAAGUCCCGCAACGAGCGCAACCCUUGUUCUUAGUUGCCAUCAUUUAGUUGGGCACUCUAAGGAGACUGCCGGUGACAAACCGGAGGAAGGUGGGGAUGACGUCAAAUCAUCAUGGCCCUUAUGCCCGGGGCCGCACACGUGCUACAAUGGGGCGGACAAAGCGUCGCGAGGCCGCGAGGCCAAGCCAAUCGCAAAAACCGUCCCUCAGUUCGGACUGCGGGCUGCAACCCGCCCGC